RNAcentral lists this ribosomal RNA (83 nucleotides) under uncultured archaeon. RNAcentral describes it as "partial 16S ribosomal RNA". It matches the Rfam family "Archaeal small subunit ribosomal RNA", at positions 319 to 402 of the family's 1478-position model. The record is from RNAcentral.
GCCCCACGGGGCGCAGCAGGCGCGAAACCUCCGCAAUGCACGCGAGUGCGACGGGGGAACCCCAAGUGCCAACUCUAACGGGG